This 270-nucleotide ribosomal RNA is filed under the name Gammarus pljakici. RNAcentral's name for it is "partial 16S ribosomal RNA". The record is from RNAcentral. Lineage: Eukaryota; Metazoa; Arthropoda; Malacostraca; Amphipoda; Gammaridae.
CUAAGGUAGCAUAAUCACUUGUUAUUUAAUUGGUGACUGGAAUGAAAGGUUAAACUAGUUUAUUAGGUUUGUAAGGUUGUAUAGAAGCUUAAAGUUAAGGUAAGAAUUCUUUAAUUUUCUAGGGGACGAUAAGACCCUAGAAGCUUAACAAGUAGUAGGUUUGAUUUAUAAGUUUGUUUGUUUUACUGGGGCGGUAAAAGUAAUUAAGCUAUUUGUUAUUUAGAGGAUCUUCAAUAUAGGAAAAAAAUAGGAUAGUUACUCUAGGGGUAA